Molecule: ribosomal RNA, 252 nt
Filed under: uncultured Eubacteriales bacterium
Lineage: Bacteria; Bacillati; Bacillota; Clostridia; Eubacteriales
Description: uncultured Clostridiales bacterium partial 16S ribosomal RNA
Rfam family: Bacterial small subunit ribosomal RNA
Source: RNAcentral
AUAAAGUGGGUUAGCGGCGGACGGGUGAGUAACACGUGAGUAACCUGCCUUAGACAUUGGGAUAGCCUCGGGAAACCGGGAUUAAUACCAAAUAAAAUCAUAAUGACACGUGUCAUAACGAUCAAAACUCCGGUGGUCUAAGAUGGACUCGCGUCCCAUUAGCUAGUUGGUAGAGUAAAAGCCUACCAAGGCGACGACGGGUAGCCGGCCUGAGAGGGUGUACGGUCACAUUGGGACUGAGAUACGGCCCAG